RNAcentral lists this unclassified non-coding RNA (516 nucleotides) under Hevea brasiliensis (rubber tree). The record is from RNAcentral. Lineage: Eukaryota; Viridiplantae; Streptophyta; Magnoliopsida; Malpighiales; Euphorbiaceae.
UGGAGGAAACAAAGAAGGUUUAGCGCGCAAGUACAAGCUACCCCAACCAGAAUGGUCUGUGUUCCGCGAAGCAAGCUUUGGCCAUGGUGAACUUGCGAUAAUUAAUUCAACUCAUGCCUCUUGGAGCUGGCAUAGAAAUGAUGAUGAUGAACCAGUGAGGUCUGAUCAAGUUUCGAUUACCUCGUUGAUUGAUUCAGGAUGCAGCAGCGUUAGAGUCAUGAACUAAGAGAAAUCCUUGGAAGCUCUUAGCUCUACUUGUAACAGAAACCAACUACUUGUUCUUAUUAUUAAGUAAAUUUAGGAGAUAUAUUGAGUAAUGUCUCUUGUUGCUCAAACUCAACAGUCAAAAACUUGAAGAUGAGAGCUGUAAGUUGAAUACCAUGCCAUAAAAAUGUAACUAAUUGUUCUGUAGAAAACAUCUAUAAUUCAGAAGCUUUAGCAUGAACGUUUACAUGUAACUCAAAAAGUAGUCUAUCAACUACAGGAUUUCAGAAACUAGUUCUUCAAAAAAAAAAA